GGAUGAUUGACUGAGCGGAUUAAGGUACUUGUUUCGAAAACAAGCGGGGUUAACAGCCCCCGCAGGUUCGAAUCCUGCAUCAUCCU
RNAcentral lists this transfer RNA (86 nucleotides) under Candidatus Babelota bacterium. Its description in RNAcentral is "Candidatus Dependentiae bacterium tRNA-Ser". It matches the Rfam family "tRNA". Rfam says of the family: Transfer RNA (tRNA) molecules are approximately 80 nucleotides in length. Their secondary structure includes four short double-helical elements and three loops (D, anti-codon, and T loops). Further hydrogen bonds mediate the characteristic L-shaped molecular structure. tRNAs have two regions of fundamental functional importance: the anti-codon, which is responsible for specific mRNA codon recognition, and the 3' end, to which the tRNAs corresponding amino acid is attached (by aminoacyl-tRNA synthetases). tRNAs cope with the degeneracy of the genetic code in two manners: having more than one tRNA (with a specific anti-codon) for a particular amino acid; and 'wobble' base-pairing, i.e. permitting non-standard base-pairing at the 3rd anti-codon position. The record is from RNAcentral.